Molecule: ribosomal RNA, 376 nt
Filed under: Diptera environmental sample
Lineage: Eukaryota; Metazoa; Arthropoda; Insecta; Diptera
Description: eukaryotic LSU rRNA
Rfam family: Eukaryotic large subunit ribosomal RNA (bases 321-376)
Source: RNAcentral
UGUACUACUCGUGAAUCAUCGAAUCUUUGAACGCAUCUUGCACUUUUUAGGCCUCCUAGAAAGUAUACUUGUUUGAGUAUCAUUAACAUUAACUCCAAGCUUCCGCUUGGGAAUUGAGACCUUAAGCAGCGCAAGCAGCCUAUGUCUUUUAAGUGAUACGUAGAGUGUUGUGUCACACACAUCGUGUGUUUCGCAAGCCUCCUCCCAUACCAAAUGUGAGAUAAACAUCGCACAGAGUAGUUGAGAAGGUUAAGCUUUACUACGCCUAGAAGUGUGUGUGGUGUUAACACACCGCAUGCCUUCAACCCCAAUUGAAUCAGUGAUCUCAAAUCAAGUAAGACUACCCGCUGAACUUAAGCAUAUCAAUAAGCGGAGG